GACGAACGCUGGCGGCGUGCUUAACACAUGCAAGUCGAGCGGUAAGGCCCUUUCGGGGGUACACGAGCGGCGAACGGGUGAGUAACACGUGGGUGACCUGCCCUCAGCUCUGGGAUAAGCCUGGGAAACCGGGUCUAAUACUGGAUAUGACUCCAUGACGCAUGUUGGUGGGGUGGAAAGCCUUGUGCGGCUGAGGAUGGGCCCGCGGCCUAUCAGCUUGUUGGUGGGGUGAGGCCUACCAAGGCGACGACGGGUAGCCGGCCCCUGAGAGGGCGACCGGCCACACUGGGACUGAGACACGGCCCAGACUCCUACGGGAGGCAGCAGUGGGGAAUCUUGCGCAAUGGGCGAAAGCCUGACGCAGCGACGCCGCGUGAGGAUGAC
Molecule: ribosomal RNA, 384 nt
Filed under: uncultured bacterium
Lineage: Bacteria
Description: bacterial SSU rRNA
Rfam family: Bacterial small subunit ribosomal RNA
Source: RNAcentral